RNAcentral lists this ribosomal RNA (405 nucleotides) under uncultured bacterium. RNAcentral describes it as "bacterial SSU rRNA". It matches the Rfam family "Bacterial small subunit ribosomal RNA", at positions 355 to 776 of the family's 1533-position model. The record is from RNAcentral.
UAGGGAAUUUUCCACAAUGGGCGAAAGCCUGAUGGAGCAACGCCGCGUGCAGGAUGAAGGCCUUCGGGUUGUAAACUGCUUUUCUUUGUGACGAUUAUGACGGUAACAGAGGAAUAAGGACCUGCUAACUACGUGCCAGCAGCCGCGGUCAUACGUAGGGUCCAAGCGUUAUCCGGAAUUACUGGGCGUAAAGAGUUGCGUAGGUGGCAGAGUAAGUUGGUAGUGAAAGCGUACGGCUCAACCGUAUAUACAUUACCAAAACUGCUCAGCUAGAGGACGAGAGAGGUAAUUGGAAUUCCUAAUGUAGGGGUAAAAUCCGUUGAUAUUAGGAGGAACACCGAUGGCGUAGGCAGAUUACUGGCUCGUUCCUGACACUAAGGCACGAAAGCGUGGGUAGCAAACAGG